AUUGAACGCUGGCGGCAUGCUUACACAUGCAAGUCGAACGGCAGCGCGGGCUUCGGCCUGGCGGCGAGUGGCGAACGGGUGAGUAAUGCAUCGGAACGUGCCCAGUAGUGGGGGAUAGCCCGGCGAAAGCCGGAUUAAUACCGCAUACGACCUGAGGGUGAAAGCGGGGGACCGAAAGGCCUCGCGCUAUUGGAGCGGCCGAUGUCGGAUUAGCUAGUUGGUGGGGUAAAGGCUUACCAAGGCGACGAUCCGUAGCUGGUCUGAGAGGACGACCAGCCACACUGGGACUGAGACACGGCCCAGACUCCUACGGGAGGCAGCAGUGGGGAAUUUUGGACAAUGGGGGCAACCCUGAUCCAGCCAUGCCGCGUGCGGGAAGAAGGCCUUCGGGUUGUAAACCGCUUUUGUUCGGGAAGAAAUCCUCUGGGCUAAUACCCCGGGGGGAUGACGGUACCGGAAGAAUAAGCACCGGCUAACUACGUG
This 483-nucleotide ribosomal RNA is filed under the name uncultured bacterium. Its description in RNAcentral is "partial 16S ribosomal RNA". It matches the Rfam family "Bacterial small subunit ribosomal RNA", at positions 28 to 507 of the family's 1533-position model. The record is from RNAcentral.